Molecule: long non-coding RNA, 468 nt
Organism: Dermacentor silvarum
Lineage: Eukaryota; Metazoa; Arthropoda; Arachnida; Ixodida; Ixodidae
Exons: 3
Source: RefSeq, a predicted model, not a curated record
CGGCGGUUCGUUCGUUAUUUGUCGUCACUCGAUUUCUGAACGCUUCAAAUGACACCAUGCUAUGCGCCAUAAAUCUCUUGUUCACGUUCGUGGACAUUCCUUAUCGUCACGUCCGUUUAAUGGCCUUUUGUCUGACGCAUAUUUUUUUUAGCUAACGUAACGUUACCGCUCUUUGGUGUUAUGGAAGGAGACACUGCUUCUGUAACAGGCAAACCUAUUGUGAGAUGAAGAUUUGCGCUGUUUCCUAUAACACAGCUGUGUACACGUACCGAAUUUUGUCCAUUCAUUGCAAAAAAGGUGACUGCCAGCCUUUUUUCGAACAAAGAACAGUGAUGGAGAAAGCGAAGGAUGAGCAUACAAGAGAGAUGUCGGAAACCUCCCAUAUCCCAAGAGAAAAAGAUACACCUGUGAACACCCUAUCUAUUGUGCUGUCAAGCCCAGAGCUUGAGGGGAUGUGCACACCUUAUC